Long non-coding RNA from Stegastes partitus (bicolor damselfish), 1046 nucleotides. RefSeq lists it as uncharacterized. The record is from RefSeq and is a predicted model, not a curated record. The transcript is spliced from 2 exons. Lineage: Eukaryota; Metazoa; Chordata; Actinopteri; Pomacentridae.
UCAAUGUCGGAGUGAGAAGAAGCCGAUUUGGGAGAUUUCUUCUUGCUGAACGCUUGUUUGAAAGAGCUUCGCAGCUGCAGGUUAAAAACAAACAGAGUGGGAGAGACGGUGAGCAGGAGAGAUUCAUAAAAACCCAGCUGGGAGGGAGAGGAGGAGGAGAGUGCCGAAGGAAAGUGGAGGAAAACAGCUGUGACCAAGUGCAAUAUCUUCAGGUGGAUUUUUCCCUUCGAGAGCGAGCUCAAGAGUCAUAAGAGCGGUUUUGAGGGGGAGGAAGUGUUGGAGAGGAGAGGAAAGGCACUAAAGUGGCAGCAGGAGAGGAGAGGAGGAAAAAGGAGUGAGGUUAGUACCCUAGAAAAGGUGCAGGGGUUAGGCUUCUUUGUCUCUUUCACACAGAGCACCAUUCUUACCUCAUACACCUGCCACAUGAAGCGAAGCAGAGGAAGACAGAGAGACAAAACAGCACAUGUUCAUAUGGGUUUGGGCGUGUUAGUGGAGGGACACAGAUUAAACUACGGGACUGGAGCUGAUUUCAUGUGACUUCCAGGCAGCAGCUGCUAAUUCUACAUCACAGCCAGCAUGAAGCGAAGGCCCUUUCAUGAUCCAUUAUAUACUCUGCAAACACACGCAGCCCCCAUACGCUCCACAUUAUCCACAGCGUGAGCAGCACCUGCACGGAGGAGCCUGCUGUGGGGUCUCAUCCACACACAAGCACUGACAGCUGGACGCACAUCCACACACGCAGGAGGGUGUUUAUUAUCACUGCCACCUAAAGCAGGAAACAUGAGCUGGAGUCUUUUAACACGGCACCACAGCGCUCAUCCUAAAAAUCUGACAACAUCGGGGGGAAGAUACUGACGACCACAGGUGGCUAACAGACUGUUUGACUCUAUGGGAAGAAAAAGAAAAAGAGCAGCGUACGUCGUCAUCGUCAUGUCUGACUUGUCCUCCGGUGCAUAAAAAAGUCUUUGAGCAACACAAAGAAAAAAUGUUCAGUUGAAUGUAAAUGUAGGAUGUUUAGCUGUAUAGUUACAUGUAUGUCUAGUGAG